RNAcentral lists this ribosomal RNA (253 nucleotides) under uncultured bacterium. RNAcentral's name for it is "partial 16S ribosomal RNA". It matches the Rfam family "Bacterial small subunit ribosomal RNA", at positions 524 to 776 of the family's 1533-position model. The record is from RNAcentral.
UACAGAGGUCUCGAGCGUUAGGCGGAAUCACUGGGCUUAAAGCGUGUGUAGGCGGAUCGUUAAGUGCCUUGUGAAAUCCCACGGCUCAACCGUGGAACUGCUUGGCAUACUGGCGGUCUUGAGCAACCUAGGGGCGAGCGGAACAAAUGGUGGAGCGGUGAAAUGCGUAGAUAUCGUUUGGAACGCCGACGGCGAAAGCAGCUGACUGGGGGUGAUCUGACGCUGAGACACGAAAGCCAGGGGAGCGAACGGG